GCUGGGGGGCAGGGGCCAUCCCGGGGACAGGCCUGGGUGAGGUUGCCGGGAUGCGGAGCCCGGCCGAGGCUACGGCCAAAGCCACACCUGAGGCCGUCUCGGGCUCUCCACUGUGGGGGCGGCGGCUGCCAUCCUCGAGUCUGUCAGGCCCAGGCUCCUCGAGGGUCCCGAGCCCCAGCUGAAGCUUGAGUUUCUUCUCAGGUGUACUGCCCUCAUGCUUUGGGGGCCAAAGCAGCAGUCCUGACAGCCCUAGGGUGGAGGGGUGUGUGUGUCAUCUCGGGAGCAGUGACUGAGUUCACUUGGCGCAGUGGUCAGCCGAGUUUUUCCCGUCAUCUGCCUUACCCCCACCCACCUCUCUUUCCUCUUUGGCCAAUUUGGAUCGGGAGUUGUUUACCGAUCUAGACUUUAAGUUACAUUCUGCUCAGCUUUUUGCUCCUUGGAAAUCAGCAGCUUUCAAUUAAGGGAAGUGGAGACUGCAUGUAUUUGGGUGACUUAAUACCCAGCUCUUCCUGUAAUGAAUUUGGAGAUCAGAUACAAUGACAUGUAUUUGAGGGGUGAGAUGACUUCUGUUUUAAUAAAGAGAGUUCACCGAAAACAUUCCCAUUUACAUGGUUUUGUCUUUUGUAGCAAAAGAUUUGCACAUAUUUUUGGGUUUCAAGCUGAUGAAGCUUCUGCAUUCCUUCCCUAUUUAGCAGCUUUUUUGAACAAAUCUCACACACAGAGAAGCUCAGGGACUUGGCCACAAUCACAUAGCAAGUAAGAUAUGGUAGGGUUGGUGGUGGAUUUCAGAAUGUUGUUGCUUGUCUUAGAACUAGCCCCCCCCCCCCCCCCCCCCCCGCCCAUCAUUAGGGUCUGAGUAAGACUGACUGAGCUGAUUGAGUCAAAUACAGGCAGUUUCUUGUGCCUGAAAAUCAUCACAGAGCCUUAUAAACAGGUCAGUGGCACAACUUUACUUGGAAAGAAUGAUGAUCAGCAUCCUUGUUUAUUGUGUUUUUGUGAGCUUGGCUAUACUCUGUUAAUAGGUAGAACUCAGUUGGUCUUGAAUUAUAAUUAUGUUCUAUGUAAAGAGGGGGAAAAUUUCUGAUGAAGAGUGUGAGACUAGGUGAAUUGGAAGUGGAAGGAAGACUAUGUGGCCUGUUAUGUAUAAAAAUUUUAAAAAGUUAAUGUGACCACUGGUUUGAAAGUAUAGUACUUUGUGUUCCAAUUUCUCCUUUUGUGAGGGAACUGUAGUACCAGUUAGGUCAGGAGCUUCUGGUUCAAGGCUGAAAGUUUAUCAUUGAGGCUAAAUCUAACCUUAGUGUCUCUUUGUGAAAUAUUCAUUCUACAUAUAUUUGUUUGAGUAUUAGGCAUACUCAUAUACUGAGUAUAGGAACUGGCAUGGCAUGGAUUCUUUCAACAGGGAGCCCGUGGCGUACAUAUCAACUGAAAUAUAAAGUUGAAAGGGUUCAGCACUACAGAAGAGAUAUAGCAACAUCAAGAAACUGGGAAAUACCUGAAGCUGUAGAACUUUCUCUUGUGGUGUGGCUAACCUCCGCUGCUAGAUAGUUCCUUUGAAGAAGCAUGGGACAUGACUUAUUCAUCUUUAUAUUUCUAGUACUUAUCUCAGUCCCAAAUAUAUGAUAGAUUCGUACAUUUACUGUUAACAAAUAUUCUUUGAGCGCCCUCUGUGCACUGGGAUUUGAGUGAUGAAUAAGACAGACAAAAUUGCUGCCAUGAGAGUGUGUGUAUGUAUACACAUAUAUACAUAUCCGGUAGUAACAAGUGCUGUGAAGAAAAUGGCAGGGUAAGGGGAUGGAGAUGAGGAGAGAGAGAGGGUGGGUGUGCUAUUAUAUGUUAGAUCAGAUGGUUAAGGAAGGGUUCUGUGAGGAGGUGACAUUUGAGUAGAGACCUGAGUGAAGUGAGGGAGAGAGCCAUGUGAAUAGCUGGGGGAAGGCAUUGUAGGCAGAGGGAAUAGCAAGAGCAAAGACCUUAGUGUGUUCUUUUUUUUUUUUCUUUUUAAGUAGACUCAAUGCCCAGUGUGGAGCGCAGUGCAGGGCUUGAACUCACGACCCUGAGAUUAAGAUCUGAGCAGAUCAAGAGUCAGACGCUUAAUCAACAACUGAGCCACCCAGGCGCCCCUAAAGAUUUUAUUUUUAAGUAAUCUGUAUACCCAGUAUGGGGCUCGAACUCACAACCCUGAGAUCAAGAGCUGCAUGCUCCCCCAAGUGAGCCAGCUAGGUGCCCCCCUAGGGUGUUCAAAGAAUAGCAAGAAAGCUAGUGUGGCUAGACUGCAGUUAAAGAAGGGGAGCAUAGUAAAAAAAGAAGUCAGGGAGGUAGCCAGGGAUCAUUAUCAUUUAGGGUCUUGAUGCUUACUAAAUAGUAUAUUUGAAUGAGUGAAGUUUUUCUACCGUCUUUGAAGUCUUCCUCCCUCAUUCUUCCUGUACUAUGUGGUACCUACCACAUCUUAUGACCCUAGGUAGUAUCAGUUGGAAUUCUUCCCUUAGGGUUCUUUGGUGAGGAAUUGGGAAUUUGAAAUUGGCAGGGUAACACUGUUUCUACCCUGUUAGUCAGGUUAAUGACUUCCCCAAAUCUCUCCAAGACAUGGUGGUUUUACUAAGUAUACACUCUGAAUGUGAACUCACAGACAUAUACCCAAGUCCAUAUAGACCUGCAGGAACUCUACCCAUUGAAAAUUUGAGAGAAUAGCUGUUCUUUUUUCUCAGCUGUUCAGCCACAGAUGUGGGUUUGGAAUUGCCGAGCAUAUCAGCUGAAAUAUGGCAGGCCACCACGUGGGUUGUUAUAGAUACAGCUAGGGUUGACUGCCUGGUACAGAAAGGGUUGUUAUCAAUAUGUGUGGGGUACAGAAGAAAUGUACUUGGCUCUGCCUAUUAUGGAGUGGAGGGUCUGGGCAAGUAUUGCUGUGUCAGAUAUAGGAAAAAACCUAAUAGCCUCCAAGUUAUCUCUGAAGAGAUUAAAGAACAGCAUUUCUCUUUAAUGUUACUUAUUUAUUGCUAUGGGGUUUUUUUUAACUAAAAAAAUGAAAGGCAGUUGAAUUUUUAAAACCAAUUAUCAUGAAAUCCCAUAGGUGGUUCUUUCAAAGUUAUUUUCACAUUUGCCGUUUGCUUUUUAUUUCAUUGCCAUCUCUUAAAUCUUCAUGAUCUCAACAUCUGUAUUACAGCAGCAUACUCUCAGUGUCUCUCUUUCCAUUCUUAUUCAUCCCGAUAAUGCUAUCAGUAGUAUGUCUAAAAUCCUGUUUGGAUUAUACCACUCACCUUCUCAAGGGCCUGCAGUGGCUCUCUCAUGUCUGCUGCAUCAGAUUUUAAUUUCCCACCUUGUUUUCAUUCUCUGUCAUCUUUUUUUGUAACAUUUUAAUUUUAAGCAAUCUCUAUGACCAGUGUUGGGCCCAGACCUACAACCCUGAGAUCAAAAGUCACACACUCUCCCACCUGAGCCAGCCAGGUGCUCACUCUCUGUUAUCUUAACCCAGAUUAGGCAUAUUGUCUACUUCUCUUCACCCUUUGCCAUAGGCAGGGCUGUUUUUCUUAACAUCCUUAAACACUUGUUUUUGCUACAAGUUUUUGCUCAUUCUGUUCCUCCUUUCUUUAGUAUCUUUCCCUAACUUGUUAGCUAUCUAAAUUAUACAAAUCCUCUGAGUUGUGCUUAAAUCCUGCCCCUUGUAACUAAGCCUACCUUUGAUUUUGAAAGAAAGUGAAGUCAGGAAGAGCAUGGGCUUUAGGGUCAGCAGUUCUGUGACUGAGUCCUUGCCCCUCUAUGCACGGUUAACUCUACGCACUAUUUCCCCUUUUUGUCUGUAACCCUAUCUGUAAAAAUGAAUAGAAUUUUUUUUUAGAUUUAUUUAUGUAUCUGAGAGAGAGAGAGCGAGCGGGGGAAGGGCAGAGGGAGAGAGAGUCCCAAGUAGACUCACCACUGAGCGUGGAGCCCAAAGCAGGGCUUGAUCUCAGGACCCUGAGAUCAUGACCUGAGCCAAAAUCAAGGGUUUGCCACUUAACUGACUGAGCCACCCAGGCACCCCAUGAAUAGAAUUAUUAAAAUGGGGUGUUUAUUUUUUCAAGAUUUUAUUUAUUCAUUUGAGACACAGAGAUACAGAGAGAGCACGAGCAGGGGAAGAGGCAGAGGGAGAGGGAGAAGCAGACUCCCUGCUGAGCCAGGAGCCCAAUAUGGGGCUCGAUCCCAGGACCCCGGGAUCAUGACCUGAGCUGAAGGCAGACGCUUAACCAUCUGAGCCACCCAGGCGCCCCUAGAAUGGGGUGUUUAAAAGUAGAGUGACUGGCACAUAGUAGACAUUCAGUAAAUGGUGAUAUUAUUUGGUUGAGUCUCUUGCCCUACUAUGGUUUAGUAAUUAGGUGAGCAGGCUCAGGAGUCAGACUACCUGGGUUUGAAUCCUAAUCUGCUUCUUACUACCUGUGUAAACAUACUGCUUUAUCUCUCUGUUUCUUAAUUUCCUCAUCUAUAAAGUAGGGUUAAAAAUAAUAUCUACUUCAUAGGGUUGUGAGAAUUAAAUGAUGUAAUUAUGUAAAGUGCUUAAAACAGUGCCUGCAACAUAGUAAUUGUUUAAGAAAUGUUGGUUAUCCUUUUGUCAUUGUUGUUUCUUUGAAUUUGCAAGCACUUUUCAUUCACAGUUUAACACUUCUAUUCGGUAUUCUUUAAUUAAUUAUUUUUGACCUUGUCAUUUUAACUAGAGAGAUUACUUUUAGUUUUCUGGGGAUAGAAACA
Long non-coding RNA from Mirounga angustirostris (Northern elephant seal), 4713 nucleotides. RefSeq lists it as uncharacterized. The transcript has 2 exons. The record is from RefSeq and is a predicted model, not a curated record. NCBI's taxonomy places the organism in Eukaryota, Metazoa, Chordata, Mammalia, Carnivora, Phocidae.